UGAGCCGGCCAGGCGGCCGCGUCGGGAGUUCGCUCCCGCCGAGGAACGUCCGGGCUCCGAAGAGCAGGGUGGUGGCUAACGGCCACCCGGGGUGACCCGCGGGACAGUGCCACAGAAAGCAGACCGCCUGCGCUCGCGCAGGUAAGGGUGAAACGGUGGUGUAAGAGACCACCAGCGCCCCAGGUGACUGGGGCGGCUAGGUAAACCCCACCCGGAGCAAGGCCAGACAGCAUGCGCCCGAGGGCUGCUCGCCCGAGCAUGCGGGUAGGCCGCUGGAGGCGACUGGCAACAGUCGUCCUAGAUGGAUGGUCGCCCAAUGACUGAACCCGGCGUAUCGGCCGGCUCAUCCC
This 350-nucleotide RNase P RNA is filed under the name Yimella lutea. RNAcentral describes it as "Bacterial RNase P class A". It matches the Rfam family "Bacterial RNase P class A". From Rfam's summary of the family: Ribonuclease P (RNase P) is a ubiquitous endoribonuclease, found in archaea, bacteria and eukarya as well as chloroplasts and mitochondria. Its best characterised activity is the generation of mature 5'-ends of tRNAs by cleaving the 5'-leader elements of precursor-tRNAs. The record is from RNAcentral. RNAcentral also lists the same sequence under 2 other names. Lineage: Bacteria; Bacillati; Actinomycetota; Actinomycetes; Micrococcales; Dermacoccaceae.